UACGGAGGGUGCAAGCGUUGUUCGGAAUUAUUGGGCGUAAAGCGCGUGUAGGCGGCUUGGCAAGUCGGGUGUGAAAUCCCGGGGCCCAACCCCGGAACUGCAUUCGAAACUGCCUCGCUAGAGUCCCGGAGAGGAAGGCGGAAUUCCCGGUGUAGAGGUGAAAUUCGUAGAUAUCGGGAGGAACACCAGCGGCGAAGGCGGCCUUCUGGACGGUGACUGACGCUGAGACGCGAAAGCGUGGGGAGCAAACAGG
Molecule: ribosomal RNA, 253 nt
Filed under: uncultured Myxococcales bacterium
Lineage: Bacteria; Pseudomonadati; Myxococcota; Myxococcia; Myxococcales
Description: partial 16S ribosomal RNA
Rfam family: Bacterial small subunit ribosomal RNA
Source: RNAcentral